RNAcentral lists this long non-coding RNA (222 nucleotides) under Nicotiana benthamiana. RNAcentral describes it as "long non-coding RNA (NBEN_LNC037000)". The record is from RNAcentral. Lineage: Eukaryota; Viridiplantae; Streptophyta; Magnoliopsida; Solanales; Solanaceae.
AGGGACAUCGGAGAACUAGUCAAAUUUUGAGUAGCUAUUAUCAAGAUGAUUAGAUUAGCCAAUUAUAACCUGUUAAAUUACACGAAUUGUGGAAGAAUUAUUCGUAUUGUCAGUGCGUACUGUUGGGCUAAACUCGCCCAAAUACACUCUUAACAUGGUGUGAUAUUUUUCGCUUUGGGCUAAGUCCGUAUGGUUUUUCCCAAAAGGCCUCACACCAUUAAG